GGCCCCAUGGUGUAAUGGUUAUCACGUAUCCUUCACAUGUCCUCGAUGGUCACAUCAAGGCCGGAUAAGGUUCUGGGUUCGAUCCCCAGUGGAGUCA
This is a non-coding RNA of Gnomoniopsis sp. IMI 355080, 97 nucleotides long. The record is from the annotation of a GenBank genome assembly. NCBI's taxonomy places the organism in Eukaryota, Fungi, Ascomycota, Sordariomycetes, Diaporthales, Gnomoniaceae.